Aedes albopictus (Asian tiger mosquito) is the source of this 1183-nucleotide long non-coding RNA. RefSeq lists it as uncharacterized. The record is from RefSeq and is a predicted model, not a curated record. The transcript has 3 exons. Lineage: Eukaryota; Metazoa; Arthropoda; Insecta; Diptera; Culicidae.
GCGCUCUUUCGCAGGUGCGUAGCUGUCAACUAACCAAAACAAACCAUCUCUCCGCACCAAAUUUUCUCAUCCGGCAGCUCCCACUUUUAAUUUAUGUUUUAAAGCAAAUUAACAGUAUAAAAAUACAUACCGCCAACUCAAAUUGUUUUACUGAACCGCGCAUAGUCCCGUGGCAAAUCGAAUCAACACCCGUCAGCUGAAUGCAAAGGUUGUCAGGCAAUGCAAAUGUUUCCGUCGUAAUCUGUGCCCGCAGUAUAUGGCCUUACCGAUCGGUGCUCGAGCAGGAAAUAGUGCAUCAAAUCCGAAGUGUCUCAUGAUUCUGGAAUACUAUUUGUGCAAUGACUUCAUAGCGGAGUGAGCAAACGAUUCUGAUACGAGCCAAGUGUAUGCCAGGACGAAACAGAAAAUGAUUCUAUACCGCUCUAGUUUCGAUCAUUAUGGAAACGAUGACUUUCCCCGGGCUUCGCUCUUCAAAAUUACCUAAAGUUAUUGGGUCAUGAUAUCCAAGUCGAUGUAGACGAUACUCAGGCAUGGUGGCAUGAUGCAGAGCCUGGAAUACCUGUUUCAGCGAGCUAUCUUACGCGCUGUGUUAAUACGCUACAUCUUGUUGACACUUUUCGGCCGGAAAAGAGCCUGCUACUCAACUUGCUAUUAUAUGCACUACCACAGAGUUUUUUUGUGUUUUUUCAUUGAGCGCACAUCGCGUAGAGGCCAAUCCGUGAUUGGAUGAAGUCCGAUUCUCUGUGCAAAUUGGACAAAGAACCUAUGAAUGGGUUUUGGCGCCAACCCUGAUUGUGGACAGAUCGAGAGCUUCCAGCAUUGAUAAUGUCGAAAGCGAUGCUAGCUUCGUCUUAACGGUCAUCAGUGUAGUACAGAUUUAUUAUAAAAGGACGAUGCAAAAAUUGAAAUAAAAAACUUUUGUGGGAUAUGAUUUAUAUAUUUUAAAUUCAAAUGAUCGAAAAAAUAAAAUGAAACACGAAAAGAAAAUAAUGUACGCCUAAAAUAAUGCUCUUUUGUAUGAUUGAUUUCAUCCGUUACAACAGAUAUGAAAAUUACCGUACUUUAUCGAUGAACUCCAUCAAUCCUGUUUAUUUCUUAGUGAGUUUUGCUUUCUUGGCCUGAAAUCAUUUAAUAAUCAAUUAUUUUAGCAAAACAUUUAAAUAUAUCAACCUACCUUAGGUAA